AAAGAAACAGAAACAUACACAGGGGGUUGGUGAAUGGUGCCGACCGCGGCCAUCGCAGUUGGAGGCUAUUUUUUGGGGGGGUGAGUAGCGUCCAAGGAGUUACUUUGCGCCCACUCCUAGCGGCACCGGCUCAGGUCCUGCAGGCCGACUGUCCCCGGCGGGGGGCGUGGGGCCUGGGACGCCGCGGGCCCGGCCGCCUCCCUCGCCGCGACCCCGGAUGGAUGCGCGCCCCCCGCCCUCCCGCGCCGGCCCCAGGAGCUCCCGGCUUCGGGAGCAUCCUUCCCGCGCCGGUCCCUGCAGCGGCGCGUAGCCGAGGGCAGCGCCCGUCAGGGGGGCACCGCGGAGCAAGAUGGAAGAGAAGAGGCGAAAAUACUCCAUCAGCAGUGACAACUCUGACACCACUGACAAAAGCCAGGCCUGCCUGUGCCUGUUGGAGUAAGGAGUUCCAUCUGCUGUGGGUAGGAGGGUUGUGCUGCCAGGAAGAUCUCACCUAGCAAUGAUUGCCCUGCUGGAGGCCCAGGCUAAGGAAGAGGCUGCCCUGCCAAGGA
This 548-nucleotide small RNA is filed under the name Pongo abelii (Sumatran orangutan). RNAcentral describes it as "processed transcript". The record is from RNAcentral. Lineage: Eukaryota; Metazoa; Chordata; Mammalia; Primates; Hominidae.